This 441-nucleotide ribosomal RNA is filed under the name uncultured bacterium. RNAcentral's name for it is "bacterial SSU rRNA". It matches the Rfam family "Bacterial small subunit ribosomal RNA", at positions 958 to 1402 of the family's 1533-position model. The record is from RNAcentral.
AACGCGAAGAACCUUACCUAGGCUUGACAUGCAGAUGAAUAUAUCAGAGAUGAUAUAGUCCUUCGGGACAUCUGCACAGGUGCUGCAUGGCUGUCGUCAGCUCGUGCCGUGAGGUGUUGGGUUAAGUCCCGCAACGAGCGCAACCCUUAUCAUUAGUUGCCAACAGUUCGGCUGGGGACUCUAAUGAGACUGCCUGGGUUAACCAGGAGGAAGGUGAGGAUGACGUCAAGUCCGCAUGGCCCUUAUGUCUAGGGCUACACACGUGCUACAAUGGUCGGUACAGAAGGCAGCGAAACCGCGAGGUGAAGCAAAUCCUAUAAAGCCGAUCCCAGUUCGGAUUGUAGUCUGCAACUCGACUACAUGAAGUUGGAAUUGCUAGUAAUGGCGUGUCAGCAACAACGCCGUGAAUACGUUCCCGGGCCUUGUACACACCGACUAGAC